This 72-nucleotide transfer RNA is filed under the name Prevotellaceae bacterium. RNAcentral describes it as "tRNA-Glu". It matches the Rfam family "tRNA". Rfam says of the family: Transfer RNA (tRNA) molecules are approximately 80 nucleotides in length. Their secondary structure includes four short double-helical elements and three loops (D, anti-codon, and T loops). The record is from RNAcentral. Lineage: Bacteria; Pseudomonadati; Bacteroidota; Bacteroidia; Bacteroidales; Prevotellaceae.
GGCGCAUUCGUCUAGAGGUUAGGACGCCGCCCUCUCACGGCGGUAACACGGGUUCGAGUCCCGUAUGCGCUA